This 656-nucleotide ribosomal RNA is filed under the name uncultured bacterium. RNAcentral describes it as "bacterial SSU rRNA". It matches the Rfam family "Bacterial small subunit ribosomal RNA", at positions 135 to 809 of the family's 1533-position model. The record is from RNAcentral.
CCCCCGGGAUAACCGCCCGAAAGGACGGGUAAUACCGGAUACCCCCGGGCGCCGCAUGGCGCCCGGGCUAAAGCCCCGACGGGAGGGGAUGGCUCCGCGGCCCAUCAGGUAGACGGCGGGGUGACGGCCCACCGUGCCGACAACGGGCAGCCGGGUUGAGAGACCGACCGGCCAGAUUGGGACUGAGACACGGCCCAGACUCCUACGGGAGGCAGCAGUGGGGAAUCUUGCGCAAUGGGGGGAACCCUGACGCAGCGACGCCGCGUGCGGGACGGAGGCCUUCGGGUCGUAAACCGCUUUCAGCAGGGAAGAGUCAAGACUGUACCUGCAGAAGAAGCCCCGGCUAACUACGUGCCAGCAGCCGCGGUAAUACGUAGGGGGCGAGCGUUAUCCGGAUUCAUUGGGCGUAAAGCGCGCGUAGGCGGCCCGGCAGGCCGGGGGUCGAAGCGGGGGGCUCAACCCCCCGAAGCCCCCGGAACCUCCGCGGCUUGGGUCCGGUAGGGGAGGGUGGAACACCCGGUGUAGCGGUGGAAUGCGCAGAUAUCGGGUGGAACACCGGUGGCGAAGGCGGCCCUCUGGGCCGAGACCGACGCUGAGGCGCGAAAGCUGGGGGAGCGAACAGGAUUAGAUACCCUGGUAGUCCCAGCCGUAAACGA